AUUUCCCACCGCAAGGGUAAGACCCCAGAAAGACUAUCUGGUUGAUAGGUCGAAGGUGUAAGUGCAGCAAUGUAUUUAGCUUAUCGAUACUAAUAGGUCGAGGACUUGACCAAUAUUAUUUGAUGUUCACUU
This 132-nucleotide ribosomal RNA is filed under the name Clostridioides difficile. Its description in RNAcentral is "partial 23S ribosomal RNA". The stretch from base 1 to 113 matches the Rfam family "Bacterial large subunit ribosomal RNA", at positions 2809 to 2925 of the family's 2925-position model. The record is from RNAcentral. Lineage: Bacteria; Bacillati; Bacillota; Clostridia; Peptostreptococcales; Peptostreptococcaceae.